GUGAGUCAUCGAAUCUUUGAACGCACAUUGCGCCUCCUGGUAUUCCGUGAGGCACGUCCGUUUGAGCGUCAGCUUAAUCCCUCCAGGUGGUGGUUUUACGCCCCCGCCCGGGCCUUUGGCGCGGGGAAGUAGACGUGGCACUGUGGUGCCUCUAGUUUCCCCCGCUUAAAUGUGGAGAAAGCUAGCCGGUGACGCCCCAGCUGCAACGACUUGUAGAAUUUCUAGCGUCGUAGCACACUUGGAGCUCCCGGCCCCCAAAACGUAGGGACCCAGGUCCCCAGAUGUUUGACCUCAAAUCGGACGAGGAUACCCGCUGAACUUAAGCAUAUCAAUAAGCGGAGGA
RNAcentral lists this unclassified non-coding RNA (343 nucleotides) under Dactylella sp. RNAcentral's name for it is "partial contains 5.8S ribosomal RNA, internal transcribed spacer 2, and large subunit ribosomal RNA". The stretch from base 1 to 71 matches the Rfam family "5.8S ribosomal RNA", at positions 84 to 154 of the family's 154-position model. The record is from RNAcentral. Lineage: Eukaryota; Fungi; Ascomycota; Orbiliomycetes; Orbiliales; Orbiliaceae.